This 225-nucleotide ribosomal RNA is filed under the name uncultured bacterium. RNAcentral describes it as "partial 16S ribosomal RNA". It matches the Rfam family "Bacterial small subunit ribosomal RNA", at positions 114 to 334 of the family's 1533-position model. The record is from RNAcentral.
CGCGUAGGUAACCUGCCUGGUAGUGGGGGGUAACUAUUGGAAACGAUAGCUAAUACCGCAUAAUAACAGUUGUUGCAUGACAACUGUUUGAAAGGUGCAAUUGCAUCACUACCAGAUGGACCUGCGUUGUAUUAGCUAGUUGGUGGGGUAACGGCUCACCAAGGCGACGAUACAUAGCCGACCUGAGAGGGUGAUCGGCCACACUGGGACUGAGACACGGCCCAG